AACGCACAUUGCGCCCUUUGGUAUUCCGAGGGGCAUGCCUGUUCGAGCGUCAUUUCAACCCCUCAAGCCCUGGCUUGGUGUUGGGCCGCGCCAGCAUGCUGGCGGGCCUUAAAAUCAGUGGCGGUGCCGCUGGGGCUCUAAGCGUAGUAGCACAUCUCGCUCUGGAGACCUGGCGGUUGCUUGCCAGACAACCUUCACUAAAACACAAGGUUUGACCUCGGAUCAGGUAGGGAUACCCGCUGAACUUAA
Molecule: unclassified non-coding RNA, 249 nt
Filed under: uncultured Helotiales
Lineage: Eukaryota; Fungi; Ascomycota; Leotiomycetes; Helotiales
Description: sequence contains 5.8S rRNA gene, ITS2, 28S rRNA gene
Source: RNAcentral